UACGAGGGGGGCAAAUGUUGUUCGGAAUCACUGGGCGUAAAGGGAGCGUAGGCGGGGUUCUAAGUCAGGUGUUUAAUCCCGGGGCCCAACCCCGGACAGGCACUUGAAACUGGGAAUCUUGAAUAGGGGAGAGGUCAGUGGAAUUGGAGGUGUAGCGGUGGAAUGCGUAGAGAUCUCCAAGAACACCAGUUGCGAAGGCGGCUGACUGGACCCAUAUUGACGCUGAGGCUCGAAAGCAUGGGGAGCAAACAGG
Molecule: ribosomal RNA, 253 nt
Filed under: uncultured bacterium
Lineage: Bacteria
Description: partial 16S ribosomal RNA
Rfam family: Bacterial small subunit ribosomal RNA
Source: RNAcentral